GACGAACGCUGGCGGCGUGCCUAAUACAUGCAAGUAGAACGCUGAAGAGAGGGGCUUGCUCUUCUUGGAUGAGUUGCGAACGGGUGAGUAACGCGUAGGUAACCUGCCUUGUAGCGGGGGAUAACUAUUGGAAACGAUAGCUAAUACCGCAUAACAAUGGAUGACACAUGUCAUUUAUUUGAAAGGGGCAAUUGCUCCACUACAAGAUGGACCUGCGUUGUAUUAGCUAGUAGGUGAGGUAAUGGCUCACCUAGGCGACGAUACAUAGCCGACCUGAGAGGGGGAUCGGCCACACUGGGACUGAGACACGGCCCAGACUCCUACGGGAGGCAGCAGUAGGGAAUCUUCGGCAAUAGGGGCAACCCUGACCGAGCAACGCCGCGUGAGUGAAGAAGGUUUUCGGAUCGUAAAGCUCUGUUGUAAGUCAAGAACGGGUGUGAGAGUGGAAAGUUCACACUGUGACGGUAGCUUACCAGAAAGGGACGGCUAACUACGUG
This 497-nucleotide ribosomal RNA is filed under the name uncultured bacterium. RNAcentral's name for it is "partial 16S ribosomal RNA". It matches the Rfam family "Bacterial small subunit ribosomal RNA", at positions 28 to 507 of the family's 1533-position model. The record is from RNAcentral.